RNAcentral lists this ribosomal RNA (53 nucleotides) under Chordata environmental sample. RNAcentral describes it as "partial 12S ribosomal RNA". Lineage: Eukaryota; Metazoa; Chordata. The record is from RNAcentral.
GUCUUACGACCCUAAACAACAAAAUUAAAUUUAAUAAAGAAAACUAAAAUUUA